ACUCCUACGGGAGGCAGCAGUGGGGAAUCUUAGACAAUGGGGGCAACCCUGAUCUAGCCAUGCCGCGUGAGUGAUGAAGGCCUUAGGGUUGUAAAGCUCUUUCAGCUGGGAAGAUAAUGACGGUACCAGCAGAAGAAGCCCCGGCUAACUCCGUGCCAGCAGCCGCGGUAAUACGGAGGGGCUAGCGUUGUUCGGAAUUACUGGGCGUAAAGCGCAUGCAGGCGGCCUGUUAAGUCAGAUGUGAAAGCCCGGGGCUUAACCUCGGAAUUGCAUUUGAAACUGGCAGGCUAGAGUCUUGUAGAGGGGGUAGAAUUUCAGGUGUAGCGGUGAAAUGCGUAGAGAUCUGAAGGAAUACCGGUGGCGAAGGCGGCCCCCUGGACAAAGACUGACGCUCAGGCACGAAAGCGUGGGGAGCAAACAGGAUUAGAUACCCUGGUAGGCUCUG
This 445-nucleotide ribosomal RNA is filed under the name uncultured bacterium. Its description in RNAcentral is "bacterial SSU rRNA". It matches the Rfam family "Bacterial small subunit ribosomal RNA", at positions 335 to 799 of the family's 1533-position model. The record is from RNAcentral.